UGGGGAAUAUUGCGCAAUGGGGGCAACCCUGACGCAGCCAUGCCGCGUGUGUGAAGAAGGCCCUAGGGUUGUAAAGCACUUUCACUUGGGAGGAACAGCUGCAGGUUAAUAGCCUGUAGCCUUGACGUUACCAUGAGAAGAAGCACCGGCUAACUCCGUGCCAGCAGCCGCGGUAAUACGGAGGGUGCGAGCGUUAAUCGGAAUUACUGGGCGUAAAGCGCGCGUAGGCGGUUUGUUAAGUCAGCUGUGAAAGCCCCGGGCUCAACCUGGGAACUGCAGUUGAUACUGGCCGACUAGAGUACGAGAGAGGGAGGUAGAAUUCCACGUGUAGCGGUGAAAUGCGUAGAUAUGUGGAGGAAUACCGGUGGCGAAGGCGGCCUCCUGGCUCGAUACUGACGCUGAGGUGCGAAAGCGUGGGGAGCAAACAGGAUUAGAUACCCCCGUAGUCC
This 449-nucleotide ribosomal RNA is filed under the name uncultured prokaryote. Its description in RNAcentral is "bacterial SSU rRNA". It matches the Rfam family "Bacterial small subunit ribosomal RNA", at positions 355 to 796 of the family's 1533-position model. The record is from RNAcentral.